This 513-nucleotide ribosomal RNA is filed under the name uncultured bacterium. Its description in RNAcentral is "bacterial SSU rRNA". It matches the Rfam family "Bacterial small subunit ribosomal RNA", at positions 996 to 1509 of the family's 1533-position model. The record is from RNAcentral.
CUUAGCAGAGAUGCUUUGGUGCCUUCGGGAACUCUGAGACAGGUGCUGCAUGGCUGUCGUCAGCUCGUGUUGUGAAAUGUUGGGUUAAGUCCCGCAACGAGCGCAACCCUUAUCCUUUGUUGCCAGCGGUCCGGCCGGGAACUCAAAGGAGACUGCCAGUGAUAAACUGGAGGAAGGUGGGGAUGACGUCAAGUCAUCAUGGCCCUUACGAGUAGGGCUACACACGUGCUACAAUGGCGCAUACAAAGAGAAGCGACCUCGCGAGAGCAAGCGGACCUCAUAAAGUGCGUCGUAGUCCGGAUUGGAGUCUGCAACUCGACUCCAUGAAGUCGGAAUCGCUAGUAAUCGUGGAUCAGAAUGCCACGGUGAAUACGUUCCCGGGCCUUGUACACACCGCCCGUCACACCAUGGGAGUGGGUUGCAAAAGAAGUAGGUAGCUUAACCUUCGGGAGGACGCUUACCACUUUGUGAUUCAUGACUGGGGUGAAGUCGUAACAAGGUAAGCGUAGUGCU